UACAGAGGGUGCAAGCGUUAAUCGGAAUGACUGGGCGUAAAGCGUGUGUAGGUGGUUAGAUAAGUUAGAUGUGAAAUCCCCGGGCUUAACCUGGGAACUGCGUUUAAGACUGUUUAACUAGAGUACUGUAGAGGGUAGUGGAAUUUCCAGUGUAGCGGUGAAAUGCGUAGAUAUUGGAAGGAACACCAGUGGCGAAGGCGGCGCACUGGACCAUUACUGACGCUGAUGCACGAAAGCUAGGGGAGCAAACAGG
RNAcentral lists this ribosomal RNA (253 nucleotides) under uncultured prokaryote. Its description in RNAcentral is "partial 16S ribosomal RNA". It matches the Rfam family "Bacterial small subunit ribosomal RNA", at positions 524 to 776 of the family's 1533-position model. The record is from RNAcentral.